This 301-nucleotide ribosomal RNA is filed under the name uncultured bacterium. Its description in RNAcentral is "partial 16S ribosomal RNA". It matches the Rfam family "Bacterial small subunit ribosomal RNA", at positions 509 to 807 of the family's 1533-position model. The record is from RNAcentral.
CAGCAGCCGCGGUAAUACGUAGGUGGCAAGCGUCGUCCGGAAUUAUUGGGCGUAAAGGGCUCGCAGGCGGUUUCUUAAGUCUGAUGUGAAAGCCCCCGGCUCAACCGGGGAGGGUCAUUGGAAACUGGGAAACUUGAGUGCAGAAGAGGAGAGUGGAAUUCCACGUGUAGCGGUGAAAUGCGUAGAGAUGUGGAGGAACACCAGUGGCGAAGGCGACUCCCUGGUCUGUAACUGACGCUGAGGAGCGAAAGCGUGGGGAGUGAACAGGAUUAGAUACCCCUGUAGUCCCUGUCUCUUAUAC